RNAcentral lists this ribosomal RNA (360 nucleotides) under Triticum aestivum (bread wheat). Its description in RNAcentral is "partial small subunit ribosomal RNA". Lineage: Eukaryota; Viridiplantae; Streptophyta; Magnoliopsida; Poales; Poaceae. The record is from RNAcentral.
AUGAAAAGGAUAUCUUGUGUUUCGAGUAAAGCAGCUGAGGUAGAUUACCUGUGCAUACAAAGGAUAUUGAACGAUGUUAGUCCAGACUGUUGGAAAAAGAAGAGAACAGCGGCUAGCAACCGGAACCGGAAUGCAGAAAUUGAUAGAACAGUAGCUGCGAGAUCCAACACAGUUUCUCCAAGUGAUGCUGAUCUUAUUCUUAGCAGAAAUUUUCUGCUAAACCGGCGGUUGCUAGAUACAAAAAACAGACUUCAGCAACAAAUCCAGCACGUAUUGUACAUUGUCGAUCGAGGGCAGGGGCACGAGCACAGAGGAAGAAAAAGUUGGGAGAAAAUAAGUUCACCAACUGUCUACGGCUAA